AAAUUGAAGAGUUUGAUCAUGGCUCAGAUUGAACGCUGGCGGCAGGCCUAACACAUGCAAGUCGAACGGUAACAGGAAACAGCUUGCUGUUUCGCUGACGAGUGGCGGACGGGUGAGUAAUGUCUGGGAAACUGCCUGAUGGAGGGGGAUAACUACUGGAAACGGUAGCUAAUACCGCAUAACGUCGCAAGACCAAAGAGGGGGACCUUCGGGCCUCUUGCCAUCGGAUGUGCCCAGAUGGGAUUAGCUUGUUGGUGGGGUAACGGCUCACCAAGGCGACGAUCC
RNAcentral lists this ribosomal RNA (285 nucleotides) under Escherichia coli. RNAcentral's name for it is "partial 16S ribosomal RNA". It matches the Rfam family "Bacterial small subunit ribosomal RNA", at positions 1 to 282 of the family's 1533-position model. Lineage: Bacteria; Pseudomonadati; Pseudomonadota; Gammaproteobacteria; Enterobacterales; Enterobacteriaceae. The record is from RNAcentral.